Long non-coding RNA from Pyrus x bretschneideri (Chinese white pear), 2167 nucleotides. RefSeq lists it as uncharacterized. NCBI's taxonomy places the organism in Eukaryota, Viridiplantae, Streptophyta, Magnoliopsida, Rosales, Rosaceae. The transcript is spliced from 5 exons. The record is from RefSeq and is a predicted model, not a curated record.
GAUAUCAGAAGUGGGAAAGUGGGUGAUAUCUUCUCGGUUUUGACUGAGUUCGAGAGUUGUUGUGUGCUGUCCUUCGAUGAGGGUUUCGGGGGGAUGGAGAUUGUGACAGAGAGCGGAGAAAUUAAGCUCUCACAGAGAGCGGAAGAAACGGAGAGACAGAGAGACAGACAGAGAGAGAAAGAGAGAGAGAGAGACAGAGAGAGAGAUGCCGAGGGGAAGACAGCAGGGAGAGGUAUGGCUGUUGUCUGCAAUUUCAUUUGCUGUCCUUCAAGGAGGGUUUCGGGGGAUGGACUGUGACAGAGAGCGGAAGAGAGAGAGAGAGAGAGAGAGAGAGAGAUGACGAUGAAAAGAAAACGAAGAGGAAAGGGGAAGCUACAUGCCUGAAUUUCGAAAGCCAAGUGCUUUUAAAAAUUUUUUUUUUUUCCUAUCAGCUUAGAUCUGGUUUUUUGUUGUGGAUUAUUUUCGAAUUUUUUAGUGUGUUAGGUCAGAUUUUAGUGGAAUAAUCAGAGAUAUUUAUUUCUUGCAUAUAUAUCUGCUUGCAGGUUCGGUUUGUCAUUUUGAUUUCGUACUCAAAUAUUUAUAUUUUAUUAUUACUUGCAUUUAUAUCUGCUUGCAUGUUGUGAUUGAGAGGCCAGAAUUACUUUACAAAUCUUUCUGCACUGUUUGGUUGGUUAGGUAGCAUGCUUUUGUCUUUUUUUUAAUCGAUUUGGGGAUUUUCUGCCCCUCUAUUUAUUCAUUUGCUCUCAGUUUUGUUUCUCAGGUUCCUGUGUUUUUCUGUUAACUGUUCAAAGGUCCAUUUUUUUCCGUUUUGUAGUUUAAAUUUUGUCUAUUAUUCUGUCUGGCCUACCAUUUCAAUUCCAAUGCUCUUAAAUUGUAUGCAUCUGUGUCUCUGUGUGUGCAUAUGAGGUUGUGCAUCGACUUCUCUGCUGCCUAAUUUUAAUGCAAUUUUUUUUAUUUCAAUUGUUUCAAGACGAGAAAACUCAUUAUUCUCUUAUUUUUAUGGAUUGCAGGAAACGUCCUGCUGACUUGGGAUUUCAGGGUUUUAUUGAAAACAAACUUAUACAUCCCAAUGCAAAAGGAGAGAGGAGGCAAUGGCUGGCAUUGUUGAUAACGCACUUCUCUUUGGAAAGAAACAUGUUUGGUCUUCAAAACACCAUUUAAAUGUGAAAGAAGAAGUUCCCCUCACAUGGUUAGAGCCGUAGAGGGGGAGUUCAAAGUCAAGAGGAGGGGCGUAAGCACAUAUUAAUUUUUUGUAUCUCAAUCUGAUUGUUUGAUUUUGGGUGAAUAGAUCAUGGGUUGAGUGAUGCAGGUGAAGCUUUGUUUUAGGACCAUCUUGGAGAAGUAUUGUUUGUUGAGCUGCCAGAAAAUGGUCACUCAGUCUCUCAAGGGGGCAGCAGCUUUGGAUUGCCUUUCCAGAAUGUUGAGGUCAUUGAAAUUAAACUAAUUGAACAUUAUUUGAUAAUUUUGGCAUAUGAAUUUGAAUUGGUAUUGAUUUAUUUUCACAACUUUUGGAAUUACGAGAUGGGACUACCAAGUCCAGAGGUCAGAUGGUCAUCUAAGCUGCUGUUAGUUUUGCUCUCCAAAUGACUCUCAUGAAUGCGAACCUUGAUCAAACGUACAUAAUAUUUGAGCAGAUAGUUUAUCCAGUAAAGGUAUUUUUGGAAAAAAAGUGUGAUAUGUCAGCAUAGUCAUGGUAUAUGACAAUGAUAAUUUGAAGAACCAUUUAAAGUAUUUUGGUAAUCAGCAUACUAAAAUUUGAAUGUGAUAUAUCCGUUUAGUUUUCUAUACACAAUGAUAAUACUCAAGUAUAAUUUACAUCAUAUAUCUUUUAAAGUACAUGAAACUAUGAAGAAAAAACCCUAAUUAAUCUGAUUAUGGGGGUUUUGUUUUAUAUCAAGAUAUUUCAGCAGAAGGCAGACUUUGAAGAGUUCACGCUGCAUAGAAAGAUGAUGAAAUGCCACCCAUUGAAUCCAUUGUUGCUCCACUGGAGGCGAAGCUUAAGCUUGCUGCAGGAGGUAUACUUUUGUUCUACAAUAUGACCUCUUUAAUUUGUUUGUAUAUGGGAGGUAUAGAGUGUUCCAUGUGUAUUUGGUUUCCAUAUUGUUUAUGGAUCUAUCAACUCAUUUAUUACAUGAAUCAAUAAUUAUAACGAGUUAAAUUUUUUUUA